Molecule: long non-coding RNA, 2001 nt
Filed under: Lynx pardinus (Iberian lynx)
Lineage: Eukaryota; Metazoa; Chordata; Mammalia; Carnivora; Felidae
Source: RNAcentral
AGGGAGUAUACAAAAAGAUAAAUAUAACCAGACAGUAAAAACUAAAAACAUACCUGGUACUCGUGCUCUGCAAGGAAAGGACAAUGGGGAGGAACUGACUCAGAGUCUCCCAAAGUAGUGUGUAAAUGCAAAACACAGACAAAUAGGAGGGAGUAGUAGAAUCAGAGGUGGAGAGACACCCAGAAUGAAUGAAGGAAGAAGAAGGUAUUUACCUAUCUGCAAAAGUUAUGAGGUGGUAAAAGCCAUAGAGCAUCAAAAAAAAAAAAAAAAAAAAAAACAAAAACCCAUGCCUCUGAGAGAAGGAAAAUGGAGACAAGUCAAUAGAGGCAAGAGGAAUAGAAGCAGAGAUGAUGCCCUGUGGGUCAUUGUCAUAAGGAGUCCUUCCAGAGUAAGGUUACUGGCUUUGAAAAGAAUAGCUUUUAGAGCUUCCACUGGGUCUCAUGGAGUGCUGCAGGCCAACUGAAGGACCGCUGCUGUGCCCAGUGAUUCCUGACCAGAUGGCAGCUCCAGGUCUUCCACUCUUUCCCAUGCAUCCUGACAACAAAUGCCUCUCACCUGAGUCAGCUUGAGUGUGUCUUUGUUUCUUGAAACACAAACAAACAAAAGACCCAGAAUACAAUGUCCAAGACCUUUGAGAGUUUGACAAUUACAUUUUUCUAGUACUUUCAAUUAUACUUUCAAAAUACUUAUGUUCUUUUUAGUGUUUUUUUUAUACUGCUUUGUUUUGUCUUAAUACAAUGUUACCACACACAAAAAGACAAUAAACUAUGUUUAUUAUUGACUUUAAACUCAUGGCAUUAGAUUUUCUUAGCAAGCACCUCUAGGGUUUUGAUACAGUAGUAUAUGGAAUGCUAUGCAAGGACUAGACACUUUUUAGAAAUUAAUUUCUGAAAAAGCUCAUGCUUUUGAGUUUGAAAUUUCAUGAUCAUAUGGAUAUGAUUUUGAUGCCAAUGAAACGUCAGGACACAAAAGCUAUCCUUCAGACACCAUACAUGGCUUGCUAAUUAUAUCUUCCGGUAAAUUCUAAUUCCUUUCCCUCUCAUGGUAGACCAAGGGUAGCUAUAAACUCGGAGGUUUUAUUUGAAUAAAAAUUAAUAGAGAAUUUGUUGUAGGAAGGUACAGGCUAGAUGAUGUGGUUGCUUCACCAAAUAAAUCACAAGGGAAAAAAGAGAGAAAAGGUAUGAAACGCAUAGACUGAGAGGCUUAAAAUCAUGUUAAUCAUAUGUGGGCCUGAUUUUAAAUAAUUUAAAUAAAUUCAGGUAAAAAUGCAAAUAAAGACAGAAACUAUGACAUUUUGGAGACAUUUGGAAAUUUGAAUGCUAACUGGAUUUUGACGGUAAGAAGGAACAUUGUUAGUUAUAUUUGUGAUAAUGCUUUGUGGUUAUGCUUUAAAAAAAAAAGAAUCCUUAUCUUUUAGAAACACAUACUAGUAUCUGGGAUUUCUUCCAAAAUAAUACAGGAGGCAGAAAAAUGUGUGAGGGCAUAGAUGCAACAAGAUCGGUUAUGAGAUAAUUACUGAGGCUGAGGAUGGAGAUUUAUACAAUUUUAUGAAUACUUUUAUGUAUAUUUUUACGUUUUUCAUAAUAAAAAAACUUUUAAAAAAUCAAUAAUGACCUUGAGCAUCUGCCCUUUCUGAGCCUUGAUAUUAAAUAAGUGAGAGAAUUUUUCCUCCCUCCAAAUGUGUGUUUAUGUGUGUUAUGUGUGUGUGUUAUAUAUUUGUAUGUAAAAAUAUGAUUGGAAAUAAAAUGCCAAAAUACUAAUAGUGACUAUAUGUCAAUGUUACAUUCUUUAGACUGAAUGUAUUCCCCCCUCCUCCCCAAAUUCAUAUGCUGAAACCUAAUCCCCAAUGUGAUGGUGUUUGGAAGUAGGGCCUUUGGAAGUGACCAGGUCAUGAGGGUGGAGCACUCAUGAAUGGGAUUAGUGCCCUUAUAAAAAACGACCCCAGAGAGCUCCCCUGCUCCUUCAGCCAUGUGAGGACACAGUGAGAAGAUGGAUAUAUAU